This 556-nucleotide ribosomal RNA is filed under the name Coelopogon abraxas. Its description in RNAcentral is "eukaryotic LSU rRNA". It matches the Rfam family "Eukaryotic large subunit ribosomal RNA", at positions 71 to 641 of the family's 3401-position model. The record is from RNAcentral. Lineage: Eukaryota; Fungi; Ascomycota; Lecanoromycetes; Lecanorales; Parmeliaceae.
GGGAUUGCCUCAGUAACGGCGAGUGAAGCGGCAACAGCUCAAAUUUGAAAUCUGGCCCUUUCGGGGUCCGAGUUGUAAUUUGUAGAGAGUGUUUCGGGCGAGACCACGGUCUAAGUCCAUUGGAACAUGGCGUCAUAGAGGGUGAGAAUCCCGUAUGUGACUGUGGAUCGAGCCCAUGUGAAGCCUCUUCGACGAGUCGAGUUGUUUGGGAAUGCAGCUCAAAAUGGGUGGUAAAUUUCAUCUAAAGCUAAAUACUGGCUGGAGACCGAUAGCGCACAAGUAGAGUGAUCGAAAGAUGAAAAGCACUUUGGAAAGAGAGUCAAACAGUACGUGAAAUUGUUGAAAGGGAAGCGCUCGCAACCAGACCUGUCCGUAGGUGAUCAGCCGCUGUUCUCAGUGGUGCACUCGCUCUGCGAUCAGGCCAGCAUCGGUUUCGGCGGCCGGAUAAAGGCCUUGGGAAUGUAGCUCCCCUCGGGGAGUCUUAUAGCCCUCGGUGCAAUGCGGCCAGCCGGGACCGAGGACCGCGCUUCGGCUAGGAUGCUGGCGUAAUGGUUGU